UUAGGAAUAUCAGAGCAUAAUAAAAGUCUAAAUGCUACAACAAAGGAUGAGGAAAAGCUGUAAAUCCACUAAAUAAGGCAUAAAGUAAAUACAAUAGGAAAUCCCAAAUACAAGUGCUAAGAGUAGAUACAUAGGUGGUCUCUAUACAGGGUACAAAACUCUCACUCUCUCAACUACAAAAGAAAGAGUAAACCACCUAGGCAAGUAAGCUCCUCGCUAGCUAGCUACGCGAUCCCCUUGCCGCGAUCCCGUGCCUCCGCCGGUGCCGAAGGCUCUGAAAAGGAAACCAUAAAACAGGGGCGUGAGAACUAUCAAAAAUAGUUCCCAGUGGGCAAUUACUGACUUCAGUGAAUGCACCACAAGGCCCAAAGCUACAAAAGAGGUUAGUGACUAUAGAUGUAGAAAAGCGAAAGGUAAGUAAAAUGUAACUUACUACAACAUGAUAUCUCUACUUAGCCUAAAUAGCAUAAGUAUGAAACAACUAUGCAUGAAGUAAAAGUCUCCAACUAUCAUAAUGUUCACAAUGCGAAAUAGUAAAGUUCUAUUGUUUACUAUUCUAGUCAAUGUCCAAAUAAUACUCUAAAUCAUCAUCUGUCCACAUGUCAUAACGAAUACUCAAGUCGAAUCUGAAGAGACCCACCCGAAGGCUGUCUAUGGCCCUGAGACCCACCCGAAGGCUGUCUGGCCGGUGCCGAGCCUAAUGGCCCCGUGGUAGUCAUCAUCCCCACCCUAGGGAUGAGCCUGUCCCACGGCAAUCCACUUCGGCGCCCAAUCCCGCACGGCGAAUAUGUAUCGCGAUGGCUAUCUCCGGAGUGCCGGCUUGUAGGGAGCGACCCUCACAAGCAUGUGCGAAUGAGCACAAUGGCAAGUAGUCAAACGAUCUGUCGCAAGUACCAAGUCCUCAUGUCUAAUAACAUGGAAUGUGUCAAGUAUCUCAAUGGCCUAUCCCUAUGUCAUCAUGUCUCUAACAUGGAAUAUAGCAGAUAUGUAGUGGCCUAUCAAUAUGUCUCUAUGUUGCAGUUUCAUAGUUUACUAGUUUCAAGUGCCCCUUUAUGACACUCUUGUUCUCUAUGUCAAAACAUGGCAACUAUGUUCCAAGGUACAUAUUCCAAGUCAUCAUCAUCAUAAGAGAUGUAUUUUUCAUUUGCAAAACAAGUACAUUUCCCGUAUGCAUGCAUUCUACUCAUAUAGCUCUACUAUAUAGUGAAAUUUUCAUAAUACUCAAGGCAUGCAUUUUAAGUGCUCUA
RNAcentral lists this long non-coding RNA (1247 nucleotides) under Ananas comosus (pineapple). RNAcentral's name for it is "long non-coding RNA (ACOM_LNC023523)". The record is from RNAcentral. Lineage: Eukaryota; Viridiplantae; Streptophyta; Magnoliopsida; Poales; Bromeliaceae.